Molecule: ribosomal RNA, 671 nt
Filed under: uncultured Candidatus Pelagibacter sp.
Lineage: Bacteria; Pseudomonadati; Pseudomonadota; Alphaproteobacteria; Candidatus Pelagibacterales; Candidatus Pelagibacteraceae
Description: bacterial SSU rRNA
Rfam family: Bacterial small subunit ribosomal RNA
Source: RNAcentral
CGUGCAGUCGAACGCAGUAGCAAUACUGAGUGGCAGACGGGUGAGUAUAAUGUGGGAAUAUGCCUUUUGGUUUGGAAUAACUCGGGGAAACUUGAGCUAAUACCGAAUAAGCCCUUACGGGGAAAGAUUCAUCGCCGAAAGAUUAGCCCGCACUUGAUUAGCUUGUUGGUGAGGUAAAAGCUCACCAAGGCAACGAUCAAUAGCUGUUCUUAGAGGAAGACCAGCCACAUUGGGACUGAGACACGGCCCAGACUCCUACGGGAGGCAGCAGUAGGGAAUCUUGCACAAUGGGGGGAACCCUGAUGCAGCGAUGCCGCGUGAGUGAAGAAGGCCUUUGGGUUGUAAAACUCUUUCGUCGGGGAAGAAAAUGACUGUACCCGAAUAAGAAGGUCCGGCUAACUUCGUGCCAGCAGCCGCGGUAAUACGAAGGGAUCUAGCGUAGUUCGGAAUUACUGGGCUUAAAGAGCUCGUAGGUGGUUAAAAAAGUUGGUGGUGAAAUCCCAAGGCUCAACCUUGGAACUGCCAUCAAAACUUUUUAGCUUGAGUGUGAUAGAGGAAAGUGGAAUUUCUAGUGUAGAGGUGAAAUUCGUAGAUAUUAGAAAGAACACCAAAAGCGAAGGCAACUUUCUGGAUCACUACUGACACUGAGGAGCGAAAGCAUGGGUAGCGAA